Molecule: non-coding RNA, 76 nt
Organism: Myotis lucifugus (little brown bat)
Lineage: Eukaryota; Metazoa; Chordata; Mammalia; Chiroptera; Vespertilionidae
Source: Rfam
GGCGGUUCUCAGGUGAUGCACCCCGGAACCAGAGAGGAGGGAGCCCGAUUCCAGGGUGUGUCACCUGAGAACCAUC